Molecule: ribosomal RNA, 253 nt
Filed under: uncultured bacterium
Lineage: Bacteria
Description: partial 16S ribosomal RNA
Rfam family: Bacterial small subunit ribosomal RNA
Source: RNAcentral
UACGGAGGGGACUAGCGUUGUUCGGAAUUACUGGGCGUAAAGCGCGCGUAGGCGGUUUUUCAAGUCGGGGGUGAAAGCCCGAGGCUCAACCUCGGAACUGCCCUCGAUACUGCAAAUCUCGAGUCCGAGAGAGGUGAGUGGAAUUCCUAGUGUAGAGGUGAAAUUCGUAGAUAUUAGGAAGAACACCAGUGGCGAAGGCGGCUCACUGGCUCGGUACUGACGCUGAGGCGCGAAAGCGUGGGGAGCAAACAGG